AUGUGUUUCCUUAGUUAACAUUGAUUUUGUAAGUAUAAUUUUCUUCUUUUUUGGGUGAAAUCAAUAUAAUAAGAUAAAAUCUCUUCUAAAAUCUGGCGGAACUAGUAAACUUAGGUAAAAAACCAGGAUUAGAUACCCUGUUAUUCUGAGUAAUACAAAAAUAGGGUAGUAAAAGUUGUUCUUCAAACCCAAAGAUUUUGGCGGCACUUUAUCCAAAUAGAGGAGCUUGCCCUGUAAUCGAUAGUCCUCGUUUUAUCUUACCUUGACUUGUAUAGCUUGUAUACCGCCGUUGUCAGAUUACUUUUAAAGAAUGUUUUCAAGAAAUAUAAUUUUUUAACUUCAGGUCAAGGUGCAGUUUAUGUUAAGGUAGUGGUGAGCUACAUUUUUAAUUAAAAAUUACGAAUUUUUAGAUGAAAAUCGAGUUGAAGGUGGAUUUAUUAGUAAAAUGAUUUAAGUAAAAUUAUUUGAAUAAGGUAAUAAAGUGUGCACAUAUCGCCCGUC
Molecule: ribosomal RNA, 501 nt
Filed under: Daphnia tanakai
Lineage: Eukaryota; Metazoa; Arthropoda; Branchiopoda; Diplostraca; Daphniidae
Description: partial 12S ribosomal RNA
Source: RNAcentral